AGGCUUGAGAAUGUUGGAGACUCUCAUAGAAGAUAGGUCCUAAUGCUAGGCAUGACAACAGGACCCAUUGAUUUUACGUGACUAUCAUCAGAAAAAAAUGGACUAUUUCUACAAUCUUUGACCUGUCUCUUUAAGAUGUGCAACAAGGAUGAGGAGCAAGGAAUCUGCAAUAUUCUUUAUAAUUUCAUGGGGUCUUCUGAGGAAAUGUGCCAAUUUUAUGGGGACUCGUAGGGAAAAAUUUUGAUUUCAUGUGGAUUCGAGUGAAAAGGUCAUGGUCCUUUUGAUGACACACAGUACUUCAGCCAUAGCUACAAUUUGCUUUUUAAUUCCUAGAAAUUCUCCACCCCAAAAUAAUACAUGAGCCUCUACUCUAAGGCAUAUCCCGAAAGCUAUUUCCUGAUCGCACCACCUGUAUGACUCUUGCUCAUUCUAAAGAACUCAGCACGAUUUCAACGUCAUGAGAAUUUAUGAAGGAUCAAGUAUCAUGCUGUCUAGUGAGACUGGAGAAGUGAAGGACAUGUGGUCUUUGUCUAUAUGUUACUAGUGAUCUACUCAUAAACUUAACCUCCUGAUGCUCAAUUAAAAGUCCCUUUUGUCCAUUGAG
Mastomys coucha (southern multimammate mouse) is the source of this 604-nucleotide long non-coding RNA. RefSeq lists it as uncharacterized. Lineage: Eukaryota; Metazoa; Chordata; Mammalia; Rodentia; Muridae. The transcript has 3 exons. The record is from RefSeq and is a predicted model, not a curated record.